GAGUUUGAUCCUGGCUCAGAACGAACGCUGGCGGCGUGCCUAACACAUGCAAGUCGAACGUGAUCCAGAGCUUGCUCUGGUGAAAGUGGCGCACGGGUGAGUAACGCGUGGAUAACCUACCCUGGUAUCCGGGAUAACACUCCGAAAGGGGUGCUAAUACCGGAUAAGCCCACGGGCUCUUUGGAGCUUGCGGGAAAAGGUGGCCUCUAUUUAUAAGCUACUGUAUCAGGAUGGGUCCGCGUACCAUUAACUAGUUGGCGGUGUAACGGACCACCAAGGCGACGAUGGUUAGCUGGUCUGAGAGGAUGAUCAGCCACACUGGAACUGAGACACGGUCCAGACUCCUACGGGAGGCAGCAGUGGGGAAUUUUGCGCAAUGGGGGAAACCCUGACGCAGCAACGCCGCGUGAGUGAUGAAGGCCUUUGGGUCGUAAAGCUCUGUCAGAGGGGAAGAAAUGAUAUAGUGCUAAUACCACUUUAUCUUGACGGUACCCUCAAAGGAAGCACCGGCUAACUCCGUGCCAGCAGCCGCGGUAAUAC
Molecule: ribosomal RNA, 540 nt
Filed under: uncultured Geobacteraceae bacterium
Lineage: Bacteria; Pseudomonadati; Thermodesulfobacteriota; Desulfuromonadia; Geobacterales; Geobacteraceae
Description: bacterial SSU rRNA
Rfam family: Bacterial small subunit ribosomal RNA
Source: RNAcentral